This 1155-nucleotide long non-coding RNA is filed under the name Felis catus (domestic cat). RNAcentral describes it as "lncRNA (ENSFCAG00000048618.1)". The record is from RNAcentral. Lineage: Eukaryota; Metazoa; Chordata; Mammalia; Carnivora; Felidae.
GCCUUUCUGGAAUAUUCCCCAGCUAUUUGGCCAGGAGAGGAGCCCGCAGCUCCCAGGACAGUCUUUCCCCAGCAGCUCUGUCUCCUCACCUCAUCACACACCCCCAAAGUCUCUUCUCCACCCUCAUCCUUGUGGAGGGGGGGGGCCCACUUUCCAGACGACUUCUGUCCUGGCCCUUCCACACCGCCCCUGUCCCUCACCCCACUGUCACCUGCAUGCCCUUCCCACACUGCUACUCUUCCUGGGCCUCACAUCCACCACCUGCAGGAGCCCUGUAUUAACGGGGGCCCUUCCGCCAGGCCAGCUGGUGGCUUCGCGCACCUGGGGAGGCUCAGGGCACAAGGCUCACCUCCGGUGUGCUUUGACCAAGAGCGAGGAAAGACCUGUAGCGGGGGAGCUUGGACAGACCUCCUGGCUGCCCCAGGUAGUGUCCCCAGGGACCCGGCCACGUCUGCAUCCUGUGCCCAGGCUACUUGCUCCCUCUCUGCCUGGAAAGCCCCUCCCUCCCCAGUCCACCGCGGACCCUUUUUCCUGCUGGCCCAGAACUCACCAUCCCCACCACUGCAGCCCGUCACCCUCCCCUCGCCCCUUCAGGGUCUUCCUGGCCGAUACCCUUGUAUAUAUCCUUGGUGCCCUGGGGACCAUACUCCUGCUCAAGCACCCUCCUCAGAGAACCCAGAGCUCAGCUCAGCACCCAGGCUCUCUCACUGGUGGGAAAGGGAGGCUGGUCCUGCCUUGCCCUCAAGUCACCACCCCAUUUCUCCACUCCUUUCCACACAAAGUUCCUCAAAAGUCACAUCUGCCCUUGGUCUCCACCACCCUCGGCUUCCCUCAGGACUCCUGCCAGCCUCACCCCGCCCCACCAGGGCCGUCUGGAUAAGACCACCAGUGGUCAGCCUCUGGGCCCCACCGGCAGGCCAUCGUGGCCUCCUGGUUCACGGUGCCCCUUCUGUGUUCGCCUGGUUGUUCACACGCCUCCUGGCCUCAGGGGCAGAGGUCCUGGGGCCCAGGCCUCGGCCCCACCGCCCAUUGCCACCCGGUCCUGCGGGCACAUCUACCCGUGGCUCUGUACGCUGGCACUCACGGUCCAAAAUCAGAUUGCUCAUGCCCAGCACCCAAACCUGGGGCCCUCAGUUUCCCCUGCACCAUGGCUGA